This 595-nucleotide ribosomal RNA is filed under the name uncultured Bacteroidota bacterium. Its description in RNAcentral is "bacterial SSU rRNA". It matches the Rfam family "Bacterial small subunit ribosomal RNA", at positions 122 to 715 of the family's 1533-position model. Lineage: Bacteria; Pseudomonadati; Bacteroidota. The record is from RNAcentral.
CAACCUGCCCACCACUUGGGGAUAACCUUGCGAAAGUAAGACUAAUACCCAAUGACGUCUCUNNNNNACAUCUGAAGGAGAUUAAAGAUUUAUCGGUGAUGGAUGGGGGUGCGUCUGAUUAGCUUGUUGGCGGGGUAACGGCCCACCAAGGCGACGAUCAGUAGGGGUUCUGAGAGGAAGGUCCCCCACAUUGGAACUGAGACACGGUCCAAACUCCUACGGGAGGCAGCAGUGAGGAAUAUUGGUCAAUGGACGAGAGUCUGAACCAGCCAAGUAGCGUGCAGGAUGACGGCCCUAUGGGUUGUAAACUGCUUUUAUAAGGGAAUAAAGUGAGUCUCGUGAGACUUUUUGCAUGUACCUUAUGAAUAAGGACCGGCUAAUUCCGUGCCAGCAGCCGCGGUAAUACGGAAGGUCCGGGCGUUAUCCGGAUUUAUUGGGUUUAAAGGGAGCGUAGGCCGGAGAUUAAGCGUGUUGUGAAAUGUAGACGCUCAACAUCUGAGUUGCUGUUGGAACUGCGGACCUUGAGUACGCGCAAGGGCGGCGGAACUUGUGGUGUAGCGGUGAAAUGCUUAGAUAUCACGAAGAACUCCGAUUG